CCCAAACUCCAAUUAGCAUAGCUUAUUCAUUGCUGCAGACCUAGUGCUGCCCAGGGGUGACAAGGGUAGCAGCACCAACUGAGACAGAGGGUCACAGCAAACAUUUUUGUUUUCCUCUCACUUCUUCCUUCAACCACCUGGGAAACUUGGGACUGACAGAAGUCCCAUCAGCAUUGGCAAAUUGUGCAGAUGGGGGACGCGAGAUUCAUCUCAGCUGAUGAAUAGCACUUAAAGCUUACAUACUAAAAUACACUGAAAUACACUGUCUUAAUAACGGCUUUCCAGCAAUCAGAUGACUGAAAGCAGUGUUUAAAAAGCAAGGAUUAAAACUGGAGAAUGCUGUCUGUUCUGCUGUCAAAGUAGGUCCAUAACCCUGUUUUUGCUUGUGUUGCUCAGGGAUUGUGCAAUGCAUUUCAAAUAAACAAACAAACAAAACAGGAAAGGAAACGAGUUCACUUUGGCAGGAUAAUAAAUACCACGAACAGGGAAGUUGCUUGGCACCUCUACCCUAGAAGCAUUCUACAAGUUACACGGGCACUGCAAGGGAAAGCUGCAAAAGAUUGUUUAACCUAGAGGAUUACAGAGGAUUGCCUGACUGUUCUCUGUUUGGCAAUCGGAAUGCUGAAUACCCUCCUGUGAUCAGCAAACCUUUCAUCCACCAAGCAUUUGCCAUUGCUGCUGACAAACAAAGACUAAACUGCAGAGAAGGGAGCCUUUGACAAGGUCCAGGAAACAAUAGCAUAUUCGGUCUUGUGUAGUUUGUGCUGGAACAUUUCUUUUUUUUUUCAAACCAUUUCCGUCGUGGCUUUCCGGACAGUGAGGACAUUUAAUGUACUUGAAGUCAAAGUCGUUGCCAAACCUGCUUAUUAGCUGAGUCUGCACACUGCGCAAAGCUGCUGCUGAUGCUGGUGUAGUCAGCUUCAGGUGCAUGAGGAAACAUGUUGCUCUAGGACAGCUGGAACAACUCUGUCUAAAUAAACUGAUAUUCUUCCCACACACAACUCUUGUAGAAAGGGACUUGGAAGAGUGUGACAGUGGUAAAAGUUAUUCCUUCCUCCUUUCCCCCACCAUCUCUGAUGGACAAUGUGGUUUGUCCUAAGACUGGAACAGCAAAAGGGAAUUGCAGGAGGGACUG
This 1135-nucleotide long non-coding RNA is filed under the name Zonotrichia albicollis (white-throated sparrow). Its description in RNAcentral is "lncRNA (ENSZALG00000011407.1)". The record is from RNAcentral. Lineage: Eukaryota; Metazoa; Chordata; Aves; Passeriformes; Passerellidae.